AACCUGGUUGAUGCCUGCCAGUAGUCAUAUGCUCGUCUUAAAGAUUAAGCCAUGCAUGUCUCAGUAUAAGUCUUUACACGUCGAAACUGCGAAUGGCUCAUUAAAACAGUUAUAGUUUAUUUGAUGGUCACCUGUUAUUUGGAUAACUGUGGUAAUUCUAGAGCUAAUACAUGCACAAAAACGCGACUUCUCGGAAGCGUUGUGUUUAUUAGAUACAGAACCAAUCCGGCUUGCCGGUCUUUGGAUGAUUCAUAAUAAAUGAACGGAGCGCAUGACUUGUGUCGGCGCUGUGUCAUUCAAGUUUCUGACCUAUCAGCUUUCGACGGUAGGGUAUUGGCCUACCGUGGCAUUGACGGGUAACGGAGAAUUAGGGUUCGAUUCCGGAGAGGGAGCCCGAGAAACGGCUACCACAUCUAAGGAAGGCAGCAGGCGCGCAAAUUACCCAAUCCCAACACGGGGAGGUAGUGACAAGAAAUAACAAAGCAAGCUGGAAUUCCAGUUCUGCUAUUGGAAUGAGUAGAAAUUAAAGCUCUUUACGAAUUCAAUUGGAGGGCAAGUCUGGUGCCAGCAGCCGCGGUAAUUCCAGCUCCAAUAGC
RNAcentral lists this ribosomal RNA (596 nucleotides) under uncultured marine eukaryote. RNAcentral's name for it is "SSU rRNA". It matches the Rfam family "Eukaryotic small subunit ribosomal RNA", at positions 1 to 598 of the family's 1831-position model. The record is from RNAcentral.